UACGGAGGAUGCGAGCGUUAUCCGGAUUUAUUGGGCGUAAAGCGAGCGCAGGUGGUUUAUUAAGUCUGGUGUAAAAGGCAGUGGCUCAACCAUUGUAUGCAUUGGAAACUGGUAGACUUGAGUGCAGGAGAGGAGAGUGGAAUUCCAUGUGUAGCGGUGAAAUGCGUGGAUAUAUGGAGGAACACCGGUGGCGAAAGCGGCUCUCUGGCCUGUAACUGACACUGAGGCUCGAAAGCGUGGGGAGCAAACAGG
Molecule: ribosomal RNA, 252 nt
Filed under: uncultured bacterium
Lineage: Bacteria
Description: partial 16S ribosomal RNA
Rfam family: Bacterial small subunit ribosomal RNA
Source: RNAcentral